UCUCCGUUGGUGAACCAGCGGAGGGAUCAUUACCGAGUCCAUCUCGAAACCCUCUGUGAACAGAAUCAAGUUGCUUCGGCGGGCUGCCCCCCCAGGGGCCCAGCCCGGCCCGCCGCAGGCCUCUCAACUCUGCCGCUGCAGUCGUCUGAGUGUACUACAAAAAGUCAAAACUUUCAACAAUGGAUCUCUUGGUUCUGGCGUCGAUGAAGAACGCAGCGAAAUGCGAUAAGUAAUGUGAAUUGCAGAAUUCAGUGAAUCAUCGAAUCUUUGAACGCACAUUGCGCCCGCUGGUAAUCCGGCGGGCAUGCCUGUUCGAGCGUCAUUUCACCACCCGAGCCCGGCUCGGUGUUGGGCACGGCGGCCCCCCAGCCGCCCGCCCCAAGCCCAUCGACCGGCGGCCCGGCCGCGCCUCGUGAAGCAGAAUGCCCUGCGAGCGCGCUGGACGAGCCACGCCGGCGGAAGCACACUCCUAUGGUUGACCUCGGAUCAGGUAGGAAUACCCGCUGAACUUAAGCAUAUCAAUAAGCGGAGGAAAAGAAACCAACAGGGAUUGCCCCAGUAACGGCGAGUGAAGCGGCAACAGCUCAGAUUUGAAAUCCGGCGCUCGCGCCCGAGUUGUAAUCUGCAGAGGAGGCCUCUGGCGACGCGCCGCCCGAGUUCCCUGGAACGGGACGCCUUAGAGGGUGAGAGCCCCGUAAGGGACGGCGACCAGCCUGUGUGAGGCCCCAUCGACGAGUCGAGUAGUUUGGGAAUGCUGCUCUAAAUGGGAGGUAAAUUUCUUCUAAAGCUAAAUAUCAGCCAGAGACCGAUAGCGCACAAGUAGAGUGAUCGAAAGAUGAAAAGCACUUUGGAAAGAGGGUGAAAAAGUACGUGAAAUUGUUGAAAGGGAAGCGCUUGUGACCAGACUCGCGCCCGGCGGAUCACCCAGCCUCGGCUGGUGCACUCCGCCGGGCCCGGGCCAGCACCGGUCUCGCGCGGGGGAGAAAGGCGGCGGGAACGUGGCCCCUCGGGGUGUUAUAGCCCGCCGCGUAAUGCCCUGCGUCGGGACCGAGGCCCGCGCUCUGCAAGGGUGCUGGCGUAAUGGUCAUCAGCGGC
This 1095-nucleotide ribosomal RNA is filed under the name Torpedospora mangrovei. Its description in RNAcentral is "eukaryotic LSU rRNA". The stretch from base 477 to 1095 matches the Rfam family "Eukaryotic large subunit ribosomal RNA", at positions 1 to 648 of the family's 3401-position model. The record is from RNAcentral. Lineage: Eukaryota; Fungi; Ascomycota; Sordariomycetes; Torpedosporales; Torpedosporaceae.